AACGCACCUUGCGCUCCUUGGUAUUCCGAGGAGCAUGCCUGUUUGAGUGUCAUUAAAUUCUCAACCUAACACCUGUUUUGCGAUGGGUUUUGUUAGGCUUGGAUAUGGGGGCUUGCAGGUCCGCUCUUUUGUGGUCUGCUCCUCUGAAAUGCAUUAGUGGGUUUGUGCCCCUCAUCUAUUGGUGUGAUAAUUAUCUACGCCGUGGGUGAUGGAUUGGACAUCAAUGAACCUGCUCAUAACCGUCCGUCUCGGACAACUUUGAUCAUUUUGACCUCAAAUCAGGUAAGACUACCCGCUGAACUUAA
This 305-nucleotide unclassified non-coding RNA is filed under the name uncultured Coprinopsis. RNAcentral describes it as "sequence contains ITS2". The stretch from base 1 to 52 matches the Rfam family "5.8S ribosomal RNA", at positions 103 to 154 of the family's 154-position model. The record is from RNAcentral. Lineage: Eukaryota; Fungi; Basidiomycota; Agaricomycetes; Agaricales; Psathyrellaceae.